This 77-nucleotide transfer RNA is filed under the name Candidatus Electrothrix gigas. RNAcentral describes it as "tRNA-Arg". It matches the Rfam family "tRNA". Rfam says of the family: Transfer RNA (tRNA) molecules are approximately 80 nucleotides in length. Lineage: Bacteria; Pseudomonadati; Thermodesulfobacteriota; Desulfobulbia; Desulfobulbales; Desulfobulbaceae. The record is from RNAcentral.
GCGCCAAUGGCUCAGUUGGAUAGAGCAACGGCCUUCUAAGCCGUGGGUCGCAGGUUCGAAUCCUGCUUGGCGUACCA